This 292-nucleotide ribosomal RNA is filed under the name uncultured alpha proteobacterium 423ev. RNAcentral's name for it is "partial 16S ribosomal RNA". It matches the Rfam family "Bacterial small subunit ribosomal RNA", at positions 9 to 327 of the family's 1533-position model. Lineage: Bacteria; Pseudomonadati; Pseudomonadota; Alphaproteobacteria. The record is from RNAcentral.
GAGUUUGAUCCUGGCUCAGAACGAACGCUGGCGGCAGGCCUAAAACAUGCAAGUCGAACGGGUGUAGCAAUACAUCAGUGGCGCACGGGUGAGUAACGCGUGGGAACAUGCCCCUUAGUACGGGACAACGUCGGGAAACUGACGCUAAUACCGUAUAAUAUCUCCGGAUCAAAGAUUUAUCGCUGAGGGAGUGGCCCGCGUCUGAUUAGCUAGUUGGUGAGGUAAUGGCUCACCAAGGCUACGAUCAGUAGCAGGUCUGAGAGGAUGAUCUGCCACACUGGGACUGAGACAC